GGGAAUCUACCCAUUUCUGCGGAAUAGCUCUGGGAAACUGGAAUUAAUACCGCAUACGCCCUACGGGGGAAAGAUUUAUCGGGGAUGGAUGAGCCCGCGUUGGAUUAGCUAGUUGGUGGGGUAAAGGCCUACCAAGGCGACGAUCCAUAGCUGGUCUGAGAGGAUGAUCAGCCACAUUGGGACUGAGACACGGCCCAAACUCCUACGGGAGGCAGCAGUGGGGAAUAUUGGACAAUGGGCGCAAGCCUGAUCCAGCCAUGCCGCGUGAGUGAUGAAGGCCUUAGGGUUGUAAAGCUCUUUCACCGGUGAAGAUAAUGACGGUAACCGGAGAAGAAGCCCCGGCUAACUUCGUGCCAGCAGCCGCGGUAAUACGAAGGGGGCUAGCGUUGUUCGGAAUUACUGGGCGUAAAGCGCACGUAGGCGGAUAUUUAAGUCAGGGGUGAAAUCCCAGAGCUCAACUCUGGAACUGCCUUUGAUACUGGGUAUCUUGAGUAUGGAAGAGGUAAGUGGAAUUGUGAGU
This 520-nucleotide ribosomal RNA is filed under the name uncultured bacterium. RNAcentral describes it as "bacterial SSU rRNA". It matches the Rfam family "Bacterial small subunit ribosomal RNA", at positions 120 to 674 of the family's 1533-position model. The record is from RNAcentral.